GAUGAACGCUGGCGGCGUGCUUAACACAUGCAAGUCGAGCGGUGAAGGCGGAGCUUGCUCUGCUGGAUCAGUGGCGAACGGGUGAGUAACACGUGAGCAAUCUGCCCCUGACUCUGGGAUAAGCUCUGGAAACUGCGGCUAAUACUGGAUACGAGCUGCGAAGGCAUCUUCAGCAGCUGGAAAGAACUUCGGUCAGGGAUGAGCUCGCGGCCUAUCAGCUUGUUGGUGGGGUAACGGCUAACCAAGGCGUCGACGGGUAGCCGGCCUGAGAGGGUGACCGGCCACACUGGGACUGAGACACGGCCCAGACUCCUACGGGAGGCAGCAGUGGGGAAUAUUGCACAAUGGGCGGAAGCCUGAUGCAGCAACGCCGCGUGAGGGACGACGGCCUUCGGGUUGUAAACCUCUUUUGGCAGGGAAGAAGCGAGAGUGACGGUAACUGCAGAAAAAGCGCCGGCUAACUACGUG
RNAcentral lists this ribosomal RNA (468 nucleotides) under uncultured bacterium. RNAcentral describes it as "partial 16S ribosomal RNA". It matches the Rfam family "Bacterial small subunit ribosomal RNA", at positions 28 to 507 of the family's 1533-position model. The record is from RNAcentral.